AACUUGGCUCAGGGACGAACGCUGGCGGCGUGCCUAAUACAUGCAAGUCGUACGCUUCUUUUUCCACCGGAGCUUGCUCCACCGGAAAAAGAAGAGUGGCGAACGGGUGAGUAACACGUGGGUAACCUGCCCAUCAGAAGGGGAUAACACUUGGAAACAGGUGCUAAUACCGUAUAACAAUCGAAACCGCAUGGUUUUGAUUUGAAAGGCGCUUUCGGGUGUCGCUGAUGGAUGGACCCGCGGUGCAUUAGCUAGUUGGUGAGGUAACGGCUCACCAAGGCCACGAUGCAUAGCCGACCUGAGAGGGUGAUCGGCCACAUUGGGACUGAGACACGGCCCAAACUCCUACGGGAGGCAGCAGUAGGGAAUCUUCGGCAAUGGACGAAAGUCUGACCGAGCAACGCCGCGUGAGUGAAGAAGGUUUUCGGAUCGUAAAACUCUGUUGUUAGAGAAGAAUCAAGGAUGAGGAGUAACUGUUCAUCCCCCUGACGGUACAAAGCCG
RNAcentral lists this ribosomal RNA (502 nucleotides) under Enterococcus faecalis. RNAcentral's name for it is "bacterial SSU rRNA". It matches the Rfam family "Bacterial small subunit ribosomal RNA", at positions 16 to 493 of the family's 1533-position model. The record is from RNAcentral. Lineage: Bacteria; Bacillati; Bacillota; Bacilli; Lactobacillales; Enterococcaceae.